GAAUCAGGGUCGCUGUCACAGUCUCCAGAAUCGCUGGUGCUGGGGAGCGAUCGACUUCUCGAUCGUCACCCCGCUCCAGCUCUCUUGGCCGGGCCCGGCACGCAGGAAGGAGACGUGGCUAAAACGUGAGCACCCAGCUUCAGAGGCUCCUUACCGAGCUCUCUCCAUCCUCCUGUGACUGGGCCCUUGACUCAGCCUCUGUGAGAUUGAGAGAGCGCUCUUUCUGAUCAAAACAGCAGGCGUUUAGCCUUGGGCGGAGGCGGGGAGGCGGCGCGCCAGGCCUCGGAACGCCGAGCGCGAAGGCUGAACCCGCUGGACGGAGAGGGCUCGGCGGGCUCCCAAGUGCAACUAAGGGGAGGUGGUGAUACACAGGCAACCAGGCACUGCUCUCGCUGGACAAAGCCAGCUGUACCUAUCAAACAGGAACCAGACCGAAAAGCAAGCUUGGGAGAGGACCAGGCUGGCCUCACGCCUGCUGAGCUCCCUGUUCUCUCUCUCUGUACAUGCCUUUCCCUCCCGGAAGGGCCGUGACCUCAUCUGUAAAACCAGGCCAUUAAGCUCACUCCAUAGGCUGUGGUAAAGAUGACAAAAGAUGGUAUCUAGAAUGUGCUAGAGAAAUGACAUACUCUAUUUCUGGUCCUGACCCCUCUGUGGGUGGUUUUUUUUUCAGCAGUGGUGGAAGGCACACACCCCGAUAUAUGCACACUCUCUGGUGACAUUUUUAAGGGAAUCUGGUCCGGGAACAGUGGGUUAACAGUAACAUCAAGUGCCCUAGCCCCCCUAAAGGAUGGCAUCUGUGCUCCUUUCUCAGCCGAGGGCCUGGCUUGAGAUGGACAGUGACGCUGAUGGUGAGAGCUCUGCCAACCUGGACUGAGAGAAAGCUCAGCGACUCGGUCUGGACAUGCCUCACCCCAUCCAGCCCUGAAGAAGAAGGCACCUUUCCUGCUUUUCUUCCACCCUGGGGGAGAGUGCGGGGUUUGUCUGGCAACCUGGGAGUAUGACAGGGGGGUCAGAGAAGGGAGGAACCCACUGGAGUCAAAAUCAAAGUCUGCCCAUCAGCUGUUUGAAAGAAA
This 1073-nucleotide long non-coding RNA is filed under the name Sus scrofa (pig). RNAcentral's name for it is "lncRNA (ENSSSCG00030065033.1)". Lineage: Eukaryota; Metazoa; Chordata; Mammalia; Artiodactyla; Suidae. The record is from RNAcentral.